Molecule: ribosomal RNA, 448 nt
Filed under: uncultured bacterium
Lineage: Bacteria
Description: bacterial SSU rRNA
Rfam family: Bacterial small subunit ribosomal RNA
Source: RNAcentral
ACUCCUACGGGAGGCAGCAGUGGGGAAUCUUGGACAAUGGGGGCAACCCUGAUCCAGCCAUGCCGCGUGAGUGAUGAAGGCCUUAGGUCGUAAAGCUCUUUCGCCUGUGAUGAUAAUGACAGUAGCAGGUAAAGAAACCCCGGCUAACUCCGUGCCAGCAGCCGCGGUAAUACGGAGGGGGUUAGCGUUGUUCGGAAUUACUGGGGCGUAAAGCGCGCGUAGGCGGAUUAGUCAGUUAGAGGUGAAAUCCCAGGGCUCAACCCUGGAACUGCCUUUAAUACUGCUAGUCUUGAGUUCGAGAGAGGUGAGUGGAAUUCCGAGUGUAGAGGUGAAAUUCGUAGAUAUUCGGAGGAACACCAGUGGCGAAGGCGGCUCACUGGCUCGAUACUGACGCUGAGGUGCGAAAGUGUGGGGAGCAAACAGGAUUAGAUACCCUGGUAGGAUAGCG